AAAACAAAUGAUGAUAGCUAGACAGGGACAUCAGAACCUUGAAUUUCAGGGUUAUGACAGACUACGUCUAUAAUGGGAAUCUCUCUGAUGUUUU
RNAcentral lists this small nucleolar RNA (94 nucleotides) under Triticum aestivum (bread wheat). Its description in RNAcentral is "snoRNA snoR44_J54". It matches the Rfam family "Small nucleolar RNA R44/J54/Z268 family". Rfam says of the family: R44, J54 and Z268 are members of the C/D class of snoRNA which contain the C (UGAUGA) and D (CUGA) box motifs. Most of the members of the box C/D family function in directing site-specific 2'-O-methylation of substrate RNAs. Lineage: Eukaryota; Viridiplantae; Streptophyta; Magnoliopsida; Poales; Poaceae. RNAcentral also lists the same sequence under 2 other names. The record is from Rfam by way of RNAcentral.